Molecule: ribosomal RNA, 1271 nt
Filed under: Sinorhizobium medicae
Lineage: Bacteria; Pseudomonadati; Pseudomonadota; Alphaproteobacteria; Hyphomicrobiales; Rhizobiaceae
Description: partial 23S ribosomal RNA
Rfam family: Bacterial large subunit ribosomal RNA
Source: RNAcentral
GAUCAAGUGAAAGAAGGGCAUUUGGUGGAUGCCUUGGCAUGCACAGGCGAUGAAGGACGUGAUACGCUGCGAAAAGCCGUGGGGAGCUGCGAAUAAGCUUUGAUCCAUGGAUCUCCGAAUGGGGCAACCCACCUUAGAUGCUUGGAAAAUCAUUUUGGUUGGCUUUUGGUUGAACGAAGCGAAGCUUCGCAAGGCCAGGGGCCGUCGCCGGUUAUCCGGCGUCAAGAAACCAAAGUGGUUUCCAAGCAUUGUUGAAAGGUAUCUUAUCCUGAAUACAAUAGGGAUAAGAAGCGAACGCAGGGAACUGAAACAUCUAAGUACCUGCAGGAAAGGACAUCAACCGAGACUCCGCAAGUAGCGGCGAGCGAACGCGGACCAGGCCAGUGGCAAUGAGGAAUAAAGUGGAAAGAUCUGGAAAGGUCUGCCGUAGCGGGUGACAGCCCCGUACACGUAGAACACUCAUUGUCCUUGAGUAGGGCGGGACACGAGAAAUCCUGUCUGAACAUGGGGAGACCACUCUCCAAGCCUAAGUACUCGUGCAUGACCGAUAGCGAACAAGUACCGUGAGGGAAAGGUGAAAAGCACCCCGACAAGGGGAGUGAAAUAGAACCUGAAACCGGAUGCCUACAAACAGUCGGAGCCCGCAAGGGUGACGGCGUACCUUUUGUAUAAUGGGUCAACGACUUAGUGUGGCAUGCAAGCUUAAGCCGGUAGGUGGAGGCGUAGCGAAAGCGAGUCUGAACAGGGCGCUUUAGUAUGUCGCAUUAGACCCGAAACCGAGUGAUCUAGCCAUGAGCAGGUUGAAGGUUGGGUAACACCAACUGGAGGACCGAACCCGCAUCUGUUGCAAUAGAUUGGGAUGACUUGUGGCUAGGGGUGAAAGGCCAAUCAAACUCGGAAAUAGCUGGUUCUCCGCGAAAUCUAUUUAGGUAGAGCGUCGACCGAAUACCCCCGGGGGUAGAGCACUGGAUGGGCUAUGGGGACUCACCGUCUUACUGAUCCUAACCAAACUCCGAAUACCGGGGAGUACUAGUCGGCAGACACACGGCGGGUGCUAACGUCCGUCGUGAAGAGGGCAACAACCCUGACCUCCAGCUAAGGUCCCCAAGUCAUGGCUAAGUGGGAAAGGAUGUGAGGAUCCCAAAACAACCAGGAUGUUGGCUUAGAAGCAGCCAUCAUUUAAAGAAAGCGUAACAGCUCACUGGUCUAAAUAAGGGUCUUUGCGCCGAAAAUGUAACGGGGCUAAAGCCAUGCACCGAAGCUGAGGCUUG